This 253-nucleotide ribosomal RNA is filed under the name uncultured bacterium. RNAcentral's name for it is "partial 16S ribosomal RNA". It matches the Rfam family "Bacterial small subunit ribosomal RNA", at positions 524 to 776 of the family's 1533-position model. The record is from RNAcentral.
UACAGAGGGUGCGAACGUUGUUCGGAAUUACUGGGCAUAAAGAGCACGUAGGCGGCACCGCAAGUGUGGGGUGAAAUCCCACGGCUCACCCGUGGAACUGCUGGGCAUACUGGCGAUCUUGGGCCAUUCAGGGGCGACUGGAACAAGCGGUGGAGCGGUGAAAUGCGUAGAUAUCGCUUGGAACGCCGAAGGUGAAAACAGGUCGCUGGGGAUGUGCCGACGCUGAGACACGAAAGCCAGGGGAGCAAACGGG